GAUGAACGCUGGCGGCGUGCCUAAUACAUGCAAGUCGAGCGAACAGAUAAGGAGCUUGCUCCUUUGACGUUAGCGGCGGACGGGUGAGUUACACGUGGAUAACCUACCUAUAAGACUGGGAUAACUUCGGGAAACCGGAGCUAAUACCGGAUAACAUUUUGAACCGCAUGGUUCAAUAGUGAAAGGCGGCUUUGCUGUCACUUAUAGAUGGAUCCGCGCUGCAUUAGCUAGUUGGUAAGGUAACGGCUUACCAAGGCAACGAUACGUAGCCGACCUGAGAGGGUGAUCGGCCACACUGGAACUGAGACACGGUCCAGACUCCUACGGGAGGCAGCAGUAGGGAAUCUUCCGCAAUGGGCGAAAGCCUGACGGAGCAACGCCGCGUGAGUGAUGAAGGUCUUCGGAUCGUAAAACUCUGUUAUCAGGGAAGAACAAAUGUGUAAGUAACUGUGCACAUCUUGACGGUACCUGAUCAGAAAGCCACGGCUAACUACGUG
Molecule: ribosomal RNA, 497 nt
Filed under: uncultured bacterium
Lineage: Bacteria
Description: partial 16S ribosomal RNA
Rfam family: Bacterial small subunit ribosomal RNA
Source: RNAcentral